RNAcentral lists this long non-coding RNA (460 nucleotides) under Homo sapiens (human). RNAcentral describes it as "non-protein coding lnc-USP16-12:1". The record is from RNAcentral. Lineage: Eukaryota; Metazoa; Chordata; Mammalia; Primates; Hominidae.
AGCACUUGUCCCUGCCCUAGAGAUCUGUGGAAUACUGCCUAGUGGAGCUGUGAGAAGAGGGCCACCGUCCUCCAGACCCCAGAAUGGUAGAUCUACCGACAGCUUGCACCAUGCACCUGGAAAAGCCACAGACACUCAGUGCCAGCCCAUGAAAGUGGCUGGGAGGGAGGCUGUACCCUGCAAAGUCACAAAGGUGGAACUGCCCAAGACCAUGAGAACCCACCUCUUGCAUCAGCAUAACCUGGAUGUGAGAACUAAAGUCAAAGGAGAUCAUUUUGAAGCUUUAAGAUUUGACUUCCCCACUGGAUUUUGGACUUGCAAGGGGCCUGUAACCCCUUUGUUUUGGCCAAUUUCUCCUAUUUAAAACAGCUGUAUUUACCCAAUACCUGUACCCCCAUUGUAUCUAAGAAGUAACUAGUUUGAUUUUGAUUUUACAGGCUCAUAGGUGGAAGGGACUUGC